Molecule: unclassified non-coding RNA, 332 nt
Filed under: Hevea brasiliensis (rubber tree)
Lineage: Eukaryota; Viridiplantae; Streptophyta; Magnoliopsida; Malpighiales; Euphorbiaceae
Source: RNAcentral
GGUUAACCAAGGUACUGAUCCUAGAAGCUCUGAUUGGGGGCCAACCCACGACCUGGCUACUUCUCCCGCCAUUGAUAGUUGCAGCAGAAUCAGAAUUUCUCUUCGACCCAUCAGUGACAUUGACUCCACGAAGCGAAGACGAGGAACAUACAGACGAGGUAGAUGAAGAAGAAGACAUAGACGAAUGAGAAGAGAUCGAGGAAGGAAAAUCCUCAGCCGUUAAAAUUCUACCAAAUUGAACCCCGCUUGGAAUUUUGUGAAUCUUGCGUGCGGAGUCGCGAACACCGAGGCAAAGCCCUAACCCCAAUUCGAUUUCAGCUUCAUCUGGGCAA